CACGGGGGUUGCGAGCGUUGUCCGGAAUUACUAGGCGUAAAGGGCUGGCAGGCGGAUCCAUAAGUUUAUCGUUUAAGGCGUCGGCUUAACCGGCGUAGGGCGGUAGAUACUGUGGAUCUGGAAUGCGGUUGGGGAAGACAGAAUUCCUGGUGUAGCGGUAGAAUGCGCAGAGAUCAGGAGGAAUACCGAAGGCGAAGGCAGUCUUCCAAGCCGUUAUUGACGCUCAACUGCGAAGGUGUGGGUAUCAAACAGGAUUAGAUACCCGGGUAGUCCCUGAGCGGG
This 282-nucleotide ribosomal RNA is filed under the name uncultured prokaryote. RNAcentral's name for it is "partial 16S ribosomal RNA". It matches the Rfam family "Bacterial small subunit ribosomal RNA", at positions 524 to 803 of the family's 1533-position model. The record is from RNAcentral.